RNAcentral lists this ribosomal RNA (397 nucleotides) under uncultured bacterium. RNAcentral's name for it is "partial 16S ribosomal RNA". It matches the Rfam family "Bacterial small subunit ribosomal RNA", at positions 523 to 918 of the family's 1533-position model. The record is from RNAcentral.
AUACGUAGGUGACAAGCGUUAUCCGGAUUUACUGGGCGUAAAGGGCGUGUAGGCGGUCUUGCAAGUCAGAAGUGAAAUUCCUGAGCUCAACUCGGGCGCUGCUUCUGAAACUGCAGGACUUGAGUGCUGGAGGGGAUAGCGGAAUUCCUAGUGGAGCGGUAAAAUGCGCAGAUAUUAGGAAGAACACCGGUGGCGAAGGCGGCUAUCUGGACAGUAACGGACGCUGAGGCGCGAAAGCGUGGGGAGCAAACGGGAUUAAAUACCCUGGUAGUCCACGCUGUAAACGAUGAAUACUAGGUGUAGGGGGUAUCGACUCCCUCUGUGCCGCAGUUAACACAAUAAGUAUUCCGCCUGGGGAGUACGGCCGCAAGGUUGAAACUCAAAUGAAUUGACGGGG